GCGGUCAUUAAAACUAAUGGCAGCUCGGCGAUCCGCUGGCUUUAAAAAUUUCACAUCUGGCCUCGGGCCGAAUGGACCGUCCAACCGACCGGAUACGGAUAUAUCAUUUGACCAACAAGCCAAAAAACAAACUCACACAAACAAGCACCCAAAAAAGCAAAAAAAAAAAUGUCGAAAAAAGCUCCCCAGUAACCCAAAGUUUGGUUGGCUUGCAUGCGGUCACAAAAGAGCAGUAAAUUAAAAUUUACUCGACAUGAAAUUGAAGCGGCGCAGAGCUGCUCCUUGCCACCCUUUCCAUACAUUUUCCACAUCCCGAUACAUUUUCCCGUGGAAAUUCAUUCAAUAUGCAGUUCUCAC
Non-coding RNA from Drosophila melanogaster (fruit fly), 357 nucleotides. NCBI's taxonomy places the organism in Eukaryota, Metazoa, Arthropoda, Insecta, Diptera, Drosophilidae. The record is from Ensembl.